GACAGAGGGUGCGAACGUUGCUCGGAAUUACUGGGCGUAAAGCGUGUGUAGGCGGCCACGCAAGUCGGAUGUGAAAGCCCCAGGCUCAACCUGGGAAGUGCACCCGAUACUGCAUGGCUGGAGUACCGGAGAGGUUGGUGGAAUUCUCGGUGUAGAGGUGAAAUUCGUAGAUAUUCGGAAGAACACCAGUGGCGAAGGCGGCUCACUGGACGACUGUUGACGCUGAGGUACGAAAGCGUGGGGAGCAAACAGG
This 253-nucleotide ribosomal RNA is filed under the name uncultured bacterium. RNAcentral's name for it is "partial 16S ribosomal RNA". It matches the Rfam family "Bacterial small subunit ribosomal RNA", at positions 524 to 776 of the family's 1533-position model. The record is from RNAcentral.